CUCUUGACACAAUCGGUGGCUCCUGUCUCCUGCUCCUGAAUAUGCUCAGGAAACAAUCGAAACUGAAACCGAAACCUCUCAAAGAACAAGACAAAAUACACAAUUCAGAAUAAGAUCUUCGCCCAAAGAGAGAGUAAAGGGGAGUUGGAGAUCGGAGAUCGGAGAUCGGAGAACACGAACAUAUACUUUGGGAAUGCUCGUGAGGGGGCUGUGAGACAAUGGAUAUUAAUCAAUUGCCGAUAAUGCUGUCCGUCCGUCGAGCGGCAGACAAGAGUUUUGAAUAAAAACUCAAAGAUGCAGACGAAGAGGUGUGUGUGGCACUGUGUGCCGUGCCCCGAGGAUGUGUCACAGUCACACUUUUGUUGUUAAUUGAACGUGGCAUGCAUGCCCCUGCCCACAGCUCAAGUGGCAUCCACACUAAUGCCGGAUUCAUGCUAAGUGGUAUGGCAAACGAUCUGGUUGAAACGCUGUCAUUGGACCUUGCCGUGAGUUGCCAUCUCUUCCGGCAAUUGAUUAAUCAUUGAGUCUGCAGCACGACACGUCGAUGCGAUGCACUUUGACGCCCCUGAAUCUGAGCCGAUAGCAAAAGUAUCCAGACAGUGUUUCCUCUCCGAUAUCCCCACUUCUUCAGCACAGAUGGCUUUAAGUAAUCCCGCAAUAUUGGCUUACUCUUCAUUUAUUUUUUGUGGUG
Molecule: long non-coding RNA, 691 nt
Organism: Drosophila guanche
Lineage: Eukaryota; Metazoa; Arthropoda; Insecta; Diptera; Drosophilidae
Exons: 3
Source: RefSeq, a predicted model, not a curated record